GUUUGCAUUCAAAAGCUAAAUGGGUCUGGUUAAUAUCUGGAUUGGGAACCACCUGGAAACAUCAGAGUUGCAGACU
RNAcentral lists this ribosomal RNA (76 nucleotides) under Notechis scutatus (mainland tiger snake). The record is from RNAcentral. Lineage: Eukaryota; Metazoa; Chordata; Lepidosauria; Squamata; Elapidae.